This 836-nucleotide long non-coding RNA is filed under the name Mus caroli (Ryukyu mouse). RNAcentral's name for it is "lncRNA (MGP_CAROLIEiJ_G0005526.1)". The record is from RNAcentral. Lineage: Eukaryota; Metazoa; Chordata; Mammalia; Rodentia; Muridae.
GGGGCUGACAGGAAGAGGUGCCUCCCAGAGGCAGGAGCAAUGGCGACGGCAGCAGCAGCAGCAGCAGCAGCAGCAGCAGCAGCAGCAGCAGCAGCAGCUUUGAGGAGAGACUGAGACUUGGCAAGGGAAAAGCUUGGUAACACACUGUAACAGGGCUGAAAGCACAGAAUACGUGAUCAUCCUAAACCUUCACCCUCACUUUUGCCUCCAUUAUUUCGGGACUACAUACACAGCUGAACCCAGCUAGAUAGAAGGACCAUGUGCAGGUGAGCGGCGAAGGUCCCUCCCCCUUCACAGCUCCGUCUCAAUGUCAAGACACAGAUGUGACCACCUCUGUUGUCCAGAUCACUUCUGUUUCCCGAUGUCACCCCAGCCUUAGCCCAAGGUCUCUCCAGCUACAUGAAUGUUAGCUCCAUGUUCCACCAUGGUGGGCCUGGAGGAGGAGGCCCAUCAUUUCCUAAUAUCGAACAGGCAUCAUGGAUCCAGGUCCUCAUCUCCAGGCCUUUCCCACGCCUGUCUCCCAAAGCUGCAAGGCCAACGGGCAGAAGGGAAAGCCCCAAGUCUUCCAGCCCAGGAACAGUUCCCUGCAUCCUGUUUUUCUGUGAUGUCACUGAGACAGCUCAGAGCCCUGCCAGGGAGCCUGAGAAGCCCCAUUUGCCAUCCUGAAUCUCUAGGAGUCUCUGGAAAAGCAGAGUGCAUGAGGCUGAUAGGUCCCAGUGGCCCCAUAGCAGGCUCCACGUGCAGGACCAUUGUGAUGUGUGUUUCGGGGUCCAGUUGUGGUUCUGAGUCCUCUGCUUCCUCCCUCUCGGGGUGUCCAGAUGCCUUUGCACACCGGG